This 779-nucleotide ribosomal RNA is filed under the name Nocardiopsis coralliicola. RNAcentral describes it as "bacterial SSU rRNA". It matches the Rfam family "Bacterial small subunit ribosomal RNA", at positions 81 to 858 of the family's 1533-position model. Lineage: Bacteria; Bacillati; Actinomycetota; Actinomycetes; Streptosporangiales; Nocardiopsidaceae. The record is from RNAcentral.
UUCGGGGUACACGAGCGGCGAACGGGUGAGUAACACGUGAGCAACCUGCCCCUGACUCUGGGAUAAGCGGUGGAAACGCCGUCUAAUACCGGAUACGACCCGCCCCUGCCUGGGGUGCGGGUGGAAAGUUUUUUCGGUUGGGGAUGGGCUCGCGGCCUAUCAGCUUGUUGGUGGGGUAACGGCCUACCAAGGCGAUUACGGGUAGCCGGCCUGAGAGGGCGACCGGCCACACUGGGACUGAGACACGGCCCAGACUCCUGCGGGAGGCAGCAGUGGGGAAUCUUGCGCAAUGGGCGAAAGCCUGACGCAGCGACGCCGCGUGGGGGAUGACGGCCUUCGGGUUGUAAACCUCUUUUACCACUCACGCAGGCCCCGGGUUUUCUCGGGGUUGACGGUAGGUGGGGAAUAAGGACCGGCUAACUACGUGCCAGCAGCCGCGGUAAUACGUAGGGUCCGAGCGUUGUCCGGAAUUAUUGGGCGUAAAGAGCUCGUAGGCGGUGUGUCGCGUCUGCUGUGAAAGACCGGGGCUUAACUCCGGUUUUGCAGUGGAUACGGGCAUGCUAGAGGUAGGUAGGGGAGACUGGAAUUCCUGGUGUAGCGGUGAAAUGCGCAGAUAUCAGGAGGAACACCGGUGGCGAAGGCGGGUCUCUGGGCCUUACCUGACGCUGAGGAGCGAAAGCGUGGGGAGCGAACAGGAUUAGAUACCCUGGUAGUCCACGCCGUAAACGUUGGGCGCUAGGUGUGGGGGCUUUCCACGGUUCCCGUGCCGCAGCUAACGC